AUGCUCGUACUUUCUGUAUGGAGCCGGGAACGAUUGUCGAUUGGACGCCCGAAGCAGGUGAAGUACGAGCAAUGGGAUGACAAACACGACGCACUACGGCUCCCCACUUGGGCUUACAAGUGGGAUGUGUUAAAUGAGACGAUGGACGAUCCCUCACUCAUUUAUAAGCAGUACACGAGCGAGUUGGACAUGAUUACAGCUGAGCAGGUGACUUGA
Molecule: ribosomal RNA, 216 nt
Filed under: Triticum aestivum (bread wheat)
Lineage: Eukaryota; Viridiplantae; Streptophyta; Magnoliopsida; Poales; Poaceae
Description: partial small subunit ribosomal RNA
Source: RNAcentral